CACGCCGGAAUUUACAAUAUGGCGGUCAAAAAGUGAAAGAUCAAACUAAGCACUGUCAAAAUUGAAAACGAUGCAGGAACGGACGGGAAACAGACCUGUUUGGACUUACUAAGUUCUUGUGUAAUAAUGGGCGCCAUUCUCAAACGAUGGAGGGUAUGGUUUCAUGUUGUUUUGGUUUCGUGACUGUACAUAUGUUUAAAAAUUGGCGAGUGACGAGCCUAUACCAAAUUUUUAAUUAUUUAUUCCGCAUUUUCUCAUAGCGUGAAGAAUCUGCUGAAAAAGUGUUGGAAUCUUUAGAAGAGGUAACAUGUCAAAGCUUGAUUUAAAAUACAUAGCUAUCAAAAUACGUAUAAUUGAUGUACCUUUAAUGUCUC
Non-coding RNA from Paramuricea clavata, 374 nucleotides. The record is from the annotation of a GenBank genome assembly. Lineage: Eukaryota; Metazoa; Cnidaria; Anthozoa; Malacalcyonacea; Plexauridae.